Molecule: ribosomal RNA, 405 nt
Filed under: uncultured bacterium
Lineage: Bacteria
Description: bacterial SSU rRNA
Rfam family: Bacterial small subunit ribosomal RNA
Source: RNAcentral
AAUGCCCGCAAGGGUGAUCCAGCCAUCCCGCGUGCAGGAAGACUGCCCUAUGGGUUGUAAACUGCUUUUAUCAGGGAAGAAACCCCUUGACUUGUUAAGGGUUGACGGUACCUGAUGAAUAAGCACCGGCUAACUCCGUGCCAGCAGCCGCGGUAAUACGGAGGGUGCAAGCGUUAUCCGGAAUCACUGGGUUUAAAGGGUGCGUAGGCGGCUUAAUAAGUCAGAGGUGAAAGACUACAGCUUAACUGUGGCACUGCCUUUGAUACUGUUGAGCUGGAAUCAGGUUGAAGUUAGUGGAAUGCGGCAUGUAGCGGUGAAAUGCAUAGAUAUGUCGUAGAACACCGAUUGCGAAGGCAGCUAACUGGGCUUGAAUUGACGCUGAGGCACGAAAGCGUGGGGAUCGAA